Molecule: small nuclear RNA, 170 nt
Organism: Pteronotus mesoamericanus
Lineage: Eukaryota; Metazoa; Chordata; Mammalia; Chiroptera; Mormoopidae
Product: U1 spliceosomal RNA
Exons: 1
Source: RefSeq, a predicted model, not a curated record
AUAGGUACGUAGCAGGGGAGCUACCGCGAUCAGGAAGGCGGUUUUCCCAGGGUGAGGCUUAUCCAUUGACCUCCAGAUGGGCUGACUCCUGCGGUUUCCCCAAAUGUGGGAAACUCGACUUCAUAAUUUGUGGUAGUGGGGGAAUUCACUCUCUCUCCUGGACCCCCCCC